AGCCUAUAAUCUCUCACUCUUCACACCAACUUCAAUACGAAGGGGUGGAAAAACUGUUUUAAACACAUGAAAGCAACACUUUUCUAUUCACAAUACUAUCUUGUUCCUGGUUCUGCAGUGGUCAGUGUUCUUUGCCCUAAUUCUAUCAGCACUCACAUGUUCCUUUUCGUGUGUGCACCGUCACAUAAAUCAGUUCCUUGCCAAAGAAAUAAAAUUCCGCCGUGAGUAUAAAUGUUCCGUUCCGUUUAUAUUGUUUGGGCGAAAGCCAGAAAGGGGUCUGUCUGCAUCAUAAAAUGACGCGAGCAAAAUAUUUUCUUCGAGCUAAAUUAAAGUAUCGAUUCAGCAACUCCUGGAAAGACAAAAUAAUGUUCUCAAAAAUAGAAAUUACACGUCAUCGCACUACAUGUUGGUGAUACAGCUUUCUUCUGGUAUUCCAUGAUUAAUAAGAAACACAGGCUUCAACUACGGUUUUAAGAAUUGCUAAAUAUGUGAAUGUGAAAGGAAAAAGAGAUAAUCCAAAGGAAGACAUUGCGUGGAUGUCCUAAAUGAAGAUAGGUCAAUAUUAUCAACAGUGACUGUAGAGAAACGCGCUUUGAUUAUGUGGACUGAACUGGUUCAGGGUAUAAAUGCAACCUUCUUCAGGUUCUGCAAAAGCUAGGAAUGUCAGUAUCAACUCUCGAAGAAAAAUGUGUAAAUAAUAGAAAUUAGUAAUGAAAGAAAUCAUGCUACAGUCGUCUGUCAUGUAAAUGUAGGAAGAAAACUAAUCAAAAUAAAAUCUUGCCUUGAUGUUAUUAAAGAACUUUUGCACAAUCUGAAUUACGAUAAUCUCACUCAGAUAAAUCAAUCACGGCUCAAUUCGUGUUUCAGAAUGUCGUCUUUCCUGCACUCCCAGACAAAACUACAGCUGUUGCCAAUCAGAGUACUACACGGAUGAAUGCUUACUACUAGAAAUCAUUCAUGCCGAGAAUUCAAGGUCACGACAACAGCGAAGAACGAAGAGUCGAGAGUUUCCUGGUACAGAAACGGCGUAAUGGGAAUGCAUACACACGAUCUCUACUGACGUACUGCGAUCUGGCACAACGGAUGGCACUUCGCAUUCGGGAUGUCCCGGGUUCAAAUUCCCAAUAAAUGUUUUGUGGUUUUCCACAGUUCUACAUCCCGUUUCCACCAGGGACAAAAUCACUUCUCUCGCCUGCGAAGAGUGACUCAGCCUAUAGCAGGUGCCAAGAUGAGAUAUUUCAAGAGGAGCUCUUGGUUACCUUUGCUGCCGGGGGCAAAUGUAGCAAGCUGUGAAGGCCACGUCCCUUGAUUUAUUAACGAUGUGAGUAAUCAGUUCCAGCUUCUUGUCACAAGAUAAGUCAGCGGCUUUUUCUACACCACGCAACUAGUUUAGUAAGUGUAUGCAUCUCUUCCUGUCUAGCGACUCUGUGAGAGUCCAACUUGACCUAUAUUCUGUAUUCCCACUGUUGCCAACUAGACACUUCAAUGUUUCUCAUUAAACUAUUAAAUAUAAACAUUAAUAUUACGUG
This is a non-coding RNA of Zootermopsis nevadensis, 1529 nucleotides long. NCBI's taxonomy places the organism in Eukaryota, Metazoa, Arthropoda, Insecta, Blattodea, Termopsidae. The record is from RefSeq and is a predicted model, not a curated record.